RNAcentral lists this ribosomal RNA (130 nucleotides) under Piedraia hortae. Its description in RNAcentral is "partial 28S ribosomal RNA". It matches the Rfam family "Eukaryotic large subunit ribosomal RNA", at positions 1 to 128 of the family's 3401-position model. Lineage: Eukaryota; Fungi; Ascomycota; Dothideomycetes; Capnodiales; Piedraiaceae. The record is from RNAcentral.
GUUGACCUCGAAUCGGGUAGGGAUACCCGCUGAACUUAAGCAUAUCAAUAAGCGGAGGAAAAGAAACCAACAGGGAUUGCCUCAGUAACGGCGAGUGAAGCGGCAACAGCUCAAAUUUGAAAUCGGGCGC